AAAGCUUUAAGUUAAAUCAAACUAUUAACCUUCAAAGUUAAAUAUAUAAUUUUUAUAAGCUUUA
RNAcentral lists this transfer RNA (64 nucleotides) under Deroploa parva. RNAcentral describes it as "tRNA-Trp". The record is from RNAcentral. Lineage: Eukaryota; Metazoa; Arthropoda; Insecta; Hemiptera; Pentatomidae.